RNAcentral lists this ribosomal RNA (153 nucleotides) under uncultured bacterium. RNAcentral describes it as "partial 16S ribosomal RNA". It matches the Rfam family "Bacterial small subunit ribosomal RNA", at positions 338 to 508 of the family's 1533-position model. The record is from RNAcentral.
CCUACGGGAGGCAGCAGUGGGGAAUAUUGGACAAUGGGCGCAAGCCUGAUCCAGCAAUGCCGCGUGAGUGAAGAAGGCCCUAGGGUUGUAAAGCUCUUUCGUCAGGGAAGAUAAUGACGGUACCUGAAGAAGAAGCCCCGGCUAACUCCGUGC